Molecule: long non-coding RNA, 14315 nt
Organism: Ictalurus punctatus (channel catfish)
Lineage: Eukaryota; Metazoa; Chordata; Actinopteri; Siluriformes; Ictaluridae
Source: Ensembl
CCAAAACAUUUUUUAAAUUCUUCUUUAACCAUUCUUUGGCAGACAUCUAAUUGAUAGUAACAACAACAACAACAAAAAAUCAAUGAAAACUUUAAGUCCUUUAGAAUAUUUGCAACACUCCUUAUUAAUCUAAAACACAUGCUGCCCUGAAAUUGUGAAUCAGAGAUGAUUAGGAAAAUCUGCUCAUGUUUGUCUAGUGUGUGUACAACCAUAAAGUGCAUAAUCAGUGUGUUCGAUAUUUAUUGAUCAUUUUGACUGAUUUGUCUGUUAGGGAUCAGAUUUUAUCCAGGCCAUCUGACGCCCAUUGAUUACUUUAUUGCUUAUAAGAUCUCAGAAAAAAACAUUGGCGGGUUUGGACUUUGAUCAAGAAAGGCUAACUAAAUUCCGUGCCUGCUUGUUGUGUCUAUAUAGUUCCAAAUAACUCUGAUUCAUGUAUACUCGUCCAUGCGCUGCCAAUGACAAAAACUUCAGAUGUAAACUGAAAUCCAAUACUUAAGAUACAGAUCUGAUUUGCUCCAAACAACAUUUCAAGAUGUCUCUUAUCAUUAGGGGGCCUGCUGCACUAUUCAGCCCUGGCUUUACCCACUUCAACCUUCUAACAAUGACAGCUCUGUCCGAGAGAACUCCAAGAACCGAGCCGGGGCCCCCCUCCCAAACUAAGAGCCCUGAUUUGUGGAGUGUGCCCCGCUCCCUUCUCUCUCUGAUCCCUUGUCUAUCUGUCCUUCGCUCCUUUCUUUGGCAGAGCACUGAUGUAAUCCAAAAACAUCCACGGGAGCAGCUGCACAGCGAAACUGUCCUCUCCAGCUCUCUCGCUCUCCCUUGCUCGUUUUUUUUCUUCUCGUACUCUAUCUCUCUCAGCCGCUUUCUUCUCCUUUUCUUUCUCCAGUGGCAUGCGAGGCUGUCGCAGGGAGGGAGCUGUGGGGAGCGGAGACAAUUAGGGCCUUUCUCUUCUCUAAAAUGGGCUAUCACUUCAAAUCUCCUUUGCCAUCUACCUCCGUAUCCUGUUUGAAGAGCUUUCGGCGUCUGGGUCGAGGACAAAUAAAGAAUUCCAACAGUUUGGGAAUGCGGCUUCGGACACGCACUUAGAUGCAGAAAAUAACAGGAAUGAUGAAAUCAGGAUGUUUUGAUAGGAUUUAAAUGUUAUAAUGUUGUAUUUAAUGCGUGGAAAAGCUCACCUGGUGUUCAGCUGUCAGGAGCUCUACUCACUGGCCUUAAACAGCAGUCUUAUCCCAAAGUAAAGACCAUGUGUUUGAUUUUAAGGUUUGAAGUAUAACUUUUCCGAUAGAGACACAAUAGCAUUCGACUUUGGUCCGAUAAGGAAUUGUGGAGGGAAAUCCUUCAAAUCACAUUGGACAUACAACGGACUGUGAAGAUCUGAAGGUGAACUUGCGAGACGUGUGUUUCCAUUUUCAUUUGUGGUGGAGGUUCCUAACACCCUGCUGCACGUUUUGCAAGAAGCCCUGAGGGUUCUCCUGUGUGGAAAACCUUGAUCGAUACCAUCCCUUCUGCAUGCCACAGAAGAUGGAGGAGCACAGAUGGGUGGCAGGCUGUGUCCUACACAAGACCCACAAAGAAUCCCUUUCUAAAUGGUCAUCACAUAAAGAAAUGUGCUUAAAAAAAAAUGUACGUGUGCCAUCAUCUGGAAACGCACAACAACAAACACUCCUAAAACAGCUCCGAUUAGGUUCCAUGCGAUCAUUGUGCAGAUCUGGGAAAUACCUCGAGUUCUGACAUUCUGUUUGAUCCCAGUUGACCUCUGAGAAACUCGAGGUGGGGCAAAUGCAUACAGAAUUUCUGGUUGCCAUUACCAAGGGCUUGUUGAGAGAGGCCAAACGCUACAAGCUGUCGAGUGGAGGAACAGGUUAGGGCACUAAGGGUCGGAAAGAGGACUCCGUACUGCCACGGGGCAGGAAGUGGUCUGUUCAGUGUUAGCAGGGGGGAACGUUGAUGGUAAAUAAACAGUGUUAAAGAUCAGUGCAUUCAAGCCUUCUUUCAGCUGCCAACUUCUCUGGUGGAAAACCAAUGUUUGAACCAGGAACAGAUCCAAUGAUCUGAUCAGUUGUCUGAGAGGAAGGGUUUUCUAAGUUUGAAAGCUCCUUGGUAUGCGACAUGAGAAAGGUUCAAUCUUGGUAAAAAUAAAUAAAUAAAUAAAAAUAAAGAAUGGUUAAAAUGAUUUAUACCACAGCGCUGUUGAACACUUGAUUCUGAUUGGUCAGAAAGUUUCUAUAACAGCAGCUUUGGCAGCACUUCCCGCUGCAAUGCGAAUCACGGGUUUAUAUUAAUGCGCUCACUAUAAUACCGUAUGUUAUCUUUCCGUAGAAGCAACUUACUGAGGGAUGUUUAUUUAAAAUUUUUGAGAGGAGUCUUAAGUGUCAGAGCUUUGUAACAGGUACAGCUGUUCUCACACACGAGAAAAUGUGCCGAACUUUGCAAUCCAUGGUGUCUCUUUAACAUGACAAGUUGCAAUUUUGCCUUAUUGGCUGAGAGAGAGAGAGAGAGAGAGAGAGAGAGAGAGAGAGAGAGAGAGAGAGAGAGAGAGAGAGAGAGAGAGAGGUCAGGCAUAAGUAAUAACGGGAACUGUUUUUGUUGAUAUUCCACAACAUUAAAUGGAUAAAAAGUAUGAUGUCAUUCUUUAAUAUAUUAUUUUUAAAUGUCAGCAUUGGCAAAUUGCUUUGUUUUAUGAGGAUUCAAACACAGUUAUUGCAAAACAAUCAACAGUAAUUUCUUGGGCCACAUCUCACAACCCCAUCACUGAUUAGUUUCCUAUAACAACAUGCUCCAUUGCUCUUUAUUCCUUACAAUUGUUAUAAUGCCAGUCCAAUGAAUACAAUGUCUAUUAUAUUGCUUAAAAGUAUAUAAAAUACAACACUGCAAAGAUCCACUUAAUAGCUCAAUAUCCCAGGAUUAUCAGAUGAAACCUGGAACUGAAUAUCCUCUACAACAUGCUCCAUAUUCAAUGACAAUGACAAACAUAAACAUAGCUGGCGAACUGAAUGUUUCUGAAAUGAACUGAAACAUCUCCAAACACCACAACACUGACUUGUUAUCUUGAUCAUAUUUAAGUGACAAACGGACAAACAGAAACGCUGAUAAAGAUCAUUCUCAGGAAGGAAUUAGGGGUUAAUAGAGGAGGAAGUAUCACACAAAACCCUGGGUUCAACUGGCAGAACUUAAGAGGGUAAAGGGGCACUGCAUUGGAGGCAACAGCCAUUUUGGUCUUCGUCCAAGCCAAGCUGAGUGCCAAAUGAUUAGGACACAGGGCCCAGGAUGUGGGCAGACUGUGCAGUGUGGGUGGGCUGACCCCACCUCUCUUUGUGCCUGGGCCCCUGUUGAUAAAAUGGGCAUGAAGGGAUGUGCCUCUUCUAUCCCCAUUUAACUCACAUUGUGAGCCUUUGCUAGUUAGCUGGUCUUCAAAUGAAUUGUUGCCACUGCUUCAUGCCAAGGUUCAUGCCUUAUUACUCUUACCGUAGAAAAGCCAAUUGGUUAAGUGAACAUCUCAAGGGCUUUAAUGGCAGACAACUUCGAUAUGGUAUCAACAAGACAAAACCUUCCACAUCAUAGCCACCAAUUAAUUAACAUGAAUACAUCAAAGAAAAUGAAGAAAAUGUAGUGAAAUUCGGCACCAUGUCAUUUUCUCUUGGCCAGUCAAUGGACCUGCCAAAUGCUGGUCUCACAUUAAAAGCGUGUUUUUAAACAUAGAAGAAUUGGCCAAAUUACAAGGUUGGUAGAACACUAAUGCCUAGCUCUGUUAACCAGGAAGUUGCGCAAGAACUGCUCUGUUCACAGAUUCUGAAGUCUCAAGAUGCUUAAUUUCACAGUUCAUUCAUUCAGUACAAGCACAAACAGUAACCAAAUCCCGUGUAAUUAAAGUUUUACAUGGAAUUUACAUUAGGAUUCGGAAACUCAUGUGGUAUUCAAGUUCAGUUAGAAAAUUAUAGUAGUAAUAUUCGUAAUAGAGUAUUUUAUCCCAGGACCAUCCCUCUGUGUAGACAAAGAGAUAUCGAGGUGGGGUUUCCCUCCACUGGGAAAAGUGUUGCAAGUUUAUCACCAUUCAUGACUUGCCAUGAAGCCGUUGCUUCAUGCAAAUGAGUCAUUUGCCUGCAUGUUUACAGUAAAUUCCUAAUAUCACUGUUUCUGAUUGCGCCACACUGGUGGGAAUAAAAGGUUUGGGACUGUAUUUAACACAAAGUUCACUGUGAAGUCCUUCAAUAAAUAUCAAUACAUGCCAUGAUAAAAGGGGUAAGAUGGGGAUUAUGAUCUAUGCAAAAAGGGAAAAUGAUAGCAGAGUAACCAAGUCUCAUUGGCAAUGGCAAAGAUAACAAAUUUCAUUUAAAAAAAUAAAUAAAAUAACAUGUUUUAUGAAUACAGAUGAUUACAGCAAAACUCAUUCAUUCAUAGUCAACAAUCGCAAUAUCCUGGUUAGAGUCAUGAUGGAUCCUAUUCCAGGAACACUAUCCCACUAUCUCUAUCUCUGGAUGGGACACCAGUCCACUGCAGGACACUAUGCACACACACACACAUACACACACACACAUUCACUCACUCAUUCAUACCGAGGCAACAAUUUAGCAUAACCAAUCCACCUAUAGUACCAGCAUAUUUUGAAGAGGUGGGGGGGAAACCGAAUAACAUUAAGGAAACCCUCAUGGACACAGUGAGGACAUGUUAAACUCUACGUAUUACCCCAAGCUCAGAAUUGAACCAGGAACCUUGGAGUUGUGACAAGUAUACAAAUUUUAUUUUAAAAAAUGAUAACCAUUUAUGACAGUCAAUAUUAUUACUAUAUCCAAAGUCUUGACUGCUAUUUAAGUAAACUGUAUUUUGUCAAUACUUCUCUGAAUGUUUAGGGAAGGAGGUGUGUGUUUGUGUGAGAGAAGGCAGGAAUGGAUUGGGGGGGUGGGGGGUUUGAGGGAAGCGAGGGUUAUCGACAGGCAGGGCGCAACGAAUGGCUGGCGCCAGACGAGCUCCACAAGCCUGGGGAAGAUUUAGCGCCAAAGAGAGCCGAGUGUCGGAGCGAGUGCGUGUGUGUUUGGGAGUGUAUGUGAGAGGGUCAGGCUCUGAAUGCCGAGCUGUUCAGGGCAGAUUUCACGGCUGGCUGAUCACAGGCGUCCGAGCCUCGACCCUCGCGACAGCUGCAAGGCCCUGCCGGCAUUGCCCACUCCCCCCUCAACCCACACACACACCUCCUCCAUCCAUACUCCGCACAAAGGGGGCCAGCCUGGACCGGCACAGCCCAGCCCAGCCCAGCCCAACACUGCAGCGCCUGACAGGCCGCACUCGCUGCUAACGAUGGCAACUGUGUGAGGUAUGUAUGAAGAGAGAGGGAAGAGGGGGUGGGUGGGCUUGGGUAGUCAUGCUAAUGGAGCGAGUGAGCGGGAAACGCUGCAGCCCCUGCUCUCCCCCUGCAAGCUCAGCAAGGGGCUCCCGCUUUCGAUGAGAUUAUUUCUCUUUCUUCUCUCCAUUUGCUUUGCCCAUUUGUUUCAUUAGCAUCAUUUUUUCCUCUCUCACAUCUUUUAUCAAAGGCUUUAUCCCGAUCUGCAUAUCCUCCAACCAUCUCCGCUCCAAUGAGAGCACGCCCCACGUACAAUACAGCGACGCCGUGGCCUUUGCACACGGGAAGUUUUUGGGAGGCCGAACUGGGUCAGAGUUUAUGGAGGACAGAUUGGCAUCGAGCACGGCUGUGCUUACUGUGCCCGAUCAAUGACAAACGGCACAAAUGAACGACAGGAUGAUGAAGAUGCGAAUAAGUAGCUGUAACCAAUGAUAAAAGAUCAGUGAAUUGAUGUAAGGAGAAAACAAUGGCCACAAAUAUGCUGAUCUACAACUUUCCACUCUUUUCCCAAGCUGUCAUUAUUUCAAAAUGCAAGCCCAGCAAAUUAGCUUCAGUACGUUAGAAGUCGAAAGAAGUGGGAAGUCAUAUUUCAGAAUGCUUAAAGAUCUUAAAGGCAGUUGUAGAUUUUAAGAUUUUAUCUUCAGAACAAGACAGAAAGCUCCAUAAAGACAUCAGUUAGUUUGGUUAUGAAAUGUUCAUUAAAUGAUCUAUUUAAAAACAAUUCAAUUCUACUUUUUUUUUUUUUUUUUUUUUUUUUAAUUUUUUAAAUAUAUCUAUUAUUUAAAAAAACAAAGUAUAAAACAAGUCUUUUUUCUGACUAAGCUAUGAAUUAACCUCAUUAAUAUGCUAAGGAUUAUAAGAAAUGCAAAAUGGCAGAAAAUAUUACACCACAAAUCUCCUAUGUUAAAAUCAUUCAAAAAUCUGAUUAUUUAAGCAACUGUGAUGAUCUCACAACAAACCCAGUGCCCAUUAUUCACCAUCGUCAUCAGCAGUGUACAGUCCAUGUGGGGAAAUAGGUGACUUGGUUUUACAUCAAUGGUUUUUAGAUGAAGAAUAGAAAAAUCUUCAUCUAUUUUAAAGAUUAUUUACAAAGCAAAAAGUCAAUAAACUGCUUUAACACAGCCUAAACACUACAGCAGUCAGUAAUAGGGAGUUAUUUGCAUCUUAUUAGCAGUUAUCUUUAAUAGUAAGCUAACAGGGUUGACUUGCUAUAGUUGAUCUAUUUAAAUGUUGCUGUGCACUAGCUGUGCGCUGUGUAUCAUCAUCAUCAUCAUCAUCAUCAAAUAUGAUUCACUUCAAUAUGUCUAACAGCUUAAACAGCCAACAUUUAGUCUUUUUUUUUUAGUUCAAACAGGUUCAACAGCAUAGUUUAGUGUAAGCAGUUAAUUAAGAGUUUUAUGGGAAUCAACAACUACAGUAUAUUGACCUUUCAUGGAGGGGGUAAAAAUAUAUCAGAUAAAAAAAUGUUGCUUUCAUUUGCAACACAGACAAAUGAAAGCAAGACUUGUAAAAAGGUCUCCAAGUAAGAUGGGAUUAAAAUAUCACACAUGCAUUACAUUCUCAUACACUUUUGGUCAUUAUAUCUUAAUUGUGAUGAAUGAAAGAAUAUCUGUAAAGCUAAUUUGUAUUAAAUGUCUUGUUUGGUUGCGUAAUUUGAGAGUAAGAGCAGUGUUUCCCACACUCAGGUGAGACUUGGGCAGGUCGCCCAGGUAUAAUAACAACCGGCCAUGUAUAUUAAGUCCCAUUAAAAAUAAUUGCAUUGUAUUUAGUAAUGCUUGGACGUUAAUUACAUUCUGAAUUUGAUUUCUAGCGAGUUACUGUAAAUUAUAAAGAAGCUGACAGAUGAAUGCAUUCGUUUUCAGCUUGUGUAAAUUCAUGGUACUCCUUAUAGUCACAUGCACUCAUUUUCCAUAGAAUACAGUACUGUUGCUUAUAAAGUACUAAUGCAGACUUAAUGACAUGUUAAACAAAAUAGUUGCCAAAAAUUUCCAUCACUAAUUUGCAUUUUCUGAGUGUAUACUCUGUCCUUAUCCCCAUUAAACUAAUGCAGUCACAAUACAUUUUCAAGCAGAAGAGCCGAGGCAGUGACUAAAGAAUAAACGUAAUUCAAAUCGAUAUCAAUUUUAUUUUGCCAAAGAUAUGUGGCGACACUUUGAAUGCUCUUUCUGUCGCCUCUGACUGUUUACAGCUUAAAUUUCCCAUGGGUAUUAUGUGAUGAGUGUGUGAAAGUGUGAAAGCAUGGUGCCCUGAAAUGGACUGGUGUCCGAUCCAAGGUGCAUUCCUGCCUCAUGUCCAGUGUUCCCGGAAUAGGCUCCAGAUCCACCACAACCCUGAUAUGGAUAAAGCGAUUACUGAAAGUGAGUGAGUGAAUUGAAAUAAAAUGUCUUUAUUAUUUCUUUUUGCCUCCAAACUUCUCUCAGUCUCCUGAUACUUACGUUGCCUUUGACCACCUACGAGGCUGUAAAAUAUGUCAUCCAUCACCAUGAUGAAAACCAGAGCUUUCAACCCAAAUGAGGCGGCUUGUUGACUUGCACAAGUCAGCAAAUGGAUAUAAAAAUCCAUAAUCAUAAAAUAUCAGCACAUUGAGGGCCUUCAUUAAAAAAAAAAAUUAUAAUAAUAAUUUUAAAAAACAGAUAAAAAAAUGUAACAGUUAAGAAUAUGCCAGGAAUUAGAUGCACGAGCAUACUUGGCUGUAGAUAGAUCCAUCAACAAGAUAAUGACCUCAAACAUUAAUUUCUAUCAACACAGAAAUGGUUGCUGGAACAUGGACAGUCUUGGGAACUGAACUUUAUUGAAAACCUGAGAGGACAGUUCACUUCUAAUCUAAAGUAUCUUACUUCUUACUACUAUCUUACUUACUCCAUCUGCCACUGCGGGCAAACCUUGUCAGCCACAAUAGGAAGAGUGGUUAUUUUCUCCAGGAGAGCCUUCUCCAAAUAGUACUUGUGGUGCCAAUUAUUAUUAAAUAUAUAUAUUUUUCUGAAGGGUGCUAAUAAUUCUGGAAUAAUCAUCUCAUGUCAUAUACAGUUUUGUAUUUUGGGUUUUCCUGCACACACAAGCACACAUAUCCUGAUAUGAUUUCUGCCUUGGUGUGAAGAUAAAACUACAUUUAAUUUUUUUUUUUUUUUUUUUUUUACAUAUUAUCCAUUGCACCAGUACAUAUGUGGGUCUCAUGCUUAAUCUCUUGACCAAAGUUCUUCAAUAAAUGCUGUCUCUUGGUAAUAUAUAUAUAUAUAUAUAUAUAUAUAAAAAAAAAAGGUCUGGUCAUUACAUUUACGACAUUUAUGGCAUUUGGCAGACACCCUUAUCCAGAGCAACUUACAUUUAUCUAAUUUAUACAACUGAGCAAUUGAGGGUUAAGGGCCUUGCCCAAGGGCCCAGCAGUGGAAGCUUGGCAGUGCUGGGGCUUGAACCCCUGACCUUCUGACCAGUAACCCAGAGCCUUUAACCACUGAGCCUCCACUAGACACCAUACUGGUCAUACUGCUUCACGCUCAUCGUGGACCUUCAUGCAGCAUAAAGAUGACACACCUUGACCCUUCAGGGUCACUAUGCUUGAUCACCAGUCAGUUCCAUGCCCCUGAAACCACUGUAAUGAGCUUACACUGGCCUAGAACUGUGCAGACAUGGUCUUAAAACAGAAUAAUCCUUUUUCUUAACAGAAUGGGCUCUGAGGGGUGUUCCAACAUAUGAACAAACCCCAGUAACUUCAAACCAGCUAACCCAUACUGUAGCAUACCUUGCUGGGUGCACAAUCAUUACACCAUACCACAAAAAUGGCUACAAACUGCAAUUCAGACGGCCCAUUUACCCACAUGGCUGUAUUUGGACACUGGCUGUGGAAUGGAACUCCAGAUAAUUGAUCACACCUAAACCUUUGUUCCGUUUGAGAAAACACAAUGACUGGGAUGUUUGUCAAAAAGAUAUUAACUUUUAUAGCAAGGAAUUUGCUCCCCCGCCCUCCCGUUGGCUGGCACAGAUUUACACCCACAACGAAAAUUUGGCUCAAAGGUUUCAUGCACCUCAUGUGACAGCAAGAGCAGUUGAGUGCCUGCUGAAUCUGAGCCGAUAUAUGCAUUCCACACGCUCUGAGAGCCUGGAUCGGCUGGGCAAAGAGAGAGCGAGAGAGAGCAGGUAGCUGCAUUUCACCGUUCAAGACUGGGCUCAUUGUCCAGUCUCUGUGGGAAACUCGCAAUACUUCCUUCAAGGGUGAUUACUAGGAAACUUAAUAUUCCGUAUCAGUGACACUUCUCACGUUUGCCAAAGGAACACACAUCUGCCCCUCAUAUCUACCAGUUCUUUGCAUACAAGGAUGAGACUCCCAACCUCCCACCCCUACAUUCAUACACAGACUCACACUUACAAAUACACACAAAUGAUGAGGGUACCUGGUCUUUAUCAGUUAGCCAAUUGCAGAGGGAAGUGUGAAGAUUUAAUCCAAUCCCUCAGCAUGAUCUGUGUACACUCUCCACAAGGAGGAAGAUAAGCUCAUUCUGAUCAAGAGAUAGAUGCUGCCUUGUGGUCAAAAGGUCAGCAUUAUCACGAUUACGCCGAGCAAGAAAAUCAAGCUUUGCAUCUCUAAAAUGUGAUGCCAGAACGGUAUGACAAAAAACAACUGCUUGUUCAAUUGGAGGUUGGUACAACUAAACAAAAGCAAAUUCAGAUCUAGAAUUUCCAACCGCCAACCGAUUCUUGCAUUGCAAUGUGUUUGGAAGUUUUUUAAACAUUUCCGUGAGAGAAGUGAAGGAGUGUUUCCAAACUUCUUCAAUUAAUCUGCCUCAGCAGAAAGGUCUUCUGCAAAACAGAAAGAGCAUAGAAAGACUGCUGCUGAGAUAGAGACUCUUGCACUUAGUGCUUGUGGGAUGGGUCAUACUGACAUCUAGCGGCAGUCUCGAUCACAGCUCCACCAUGCAUUCUGGGUGACGAACUGUAAGCAUUGCUGACACAGACUAAUGGCUCCUUUUGCAGCUAAUGAUGGAGCAAUGUGGACAGCUGCUGGGCAGCCCAUGGAAUGCCAACAGUGACCCCAGGCUUUGGUGGACAAAAAAAGAGAGAUAUUCACUUUACCUCUCUAAGUCUCUUUCCUUUACUUCUGCUUGAAAUUAUCCCUCUUUUGCCCAUUCAAAGCUCAUCACACCAGUUCCUUUCCUUUCUAAAGGCCUGCUUCUUUUGGGGUCUUUCUUCAGCUCACCUGUAUGCAAAUUGGCCCAGCAUUCUGUUUCAUUAAUCUAGGAGAGGUAGGGCGAGAUAGCAGCAGAUUGCUUCCGCCACGGCAGAAUGUUCGCCGCACUUUGGCCACAAGUUAAUUUAUUACUGGAGGGUUUGGAGGGCCAGGCGCACAGGGGAUGUUUGUUAAAGAUCCUUUUCAGUGCAUUCACUCGGCCAGAGUACGGCGCUUUGAAACCCCCCUGCAAAAGAGUGGCCAUUCACAGAGAGUGCAGGAAACCUGAGGGAAGAACUAGAGGGACAAUUCUGAAGCGAGAGAUUAAGCAAGGGGGAGUGUGUGCGCGUGUAUGUGUGUGUGUGUGUGCGCAAGAGGGGCAGAGAAAAAGAGAAACAGAACUAUCCUCAAAAUGAAAACAUUUGUGUUAGAUACAACUAUUUCAGAUACACUGAAAUGAAAAAAAAAAAAAUCAAGUGAAAAUCUUUGCCUUGAGUAGACUUUGAGAUCUUGUAAACCACUGAGAUGAUUAACUUGAUAAAACUUGGACUAAACUAUGCAUUCCCUACAGUUAGUUGGGAUAUCAAAUGUGAAUAUUUUUUUUAGUUCUUGGAAGGUCCCUUAGGUAAAGCCUUAAAGUCCUGUCUUCAUUGAAAAGAACACUACAGAACACCUUAUCAGUAUGAUACAACUGAUACACACCUCAGCAGCUGCUGUUAACAAAAGGCCAGGCAAUGUGAGAAAGGUGUGGGUUGAGCUGAAGAUGAGGAGAGCUGAACUUUCUCCUCAGUAUCUCAUUAUUUACCACCCUCCUUAUCCACUGAACAAAAUCGAGCCGGUCGGGACGGGAAACAGGGCAUGGCAAGGUGACAAAGUGGCACCUGGCCGACAGGUGUUUGGGCUGUCAGGGGUCACAGGAUUAACGGCUCUGAUCACCUGCCUUACCUGAGCAAGGGUAAGGAGCAGAUCCUAAAGAGACAGGUGCAUCUGCUCGAGCAGUGGUACAUACACAUCUUAAAAACCCUGGACCUGCAAAGCCAGCCACGUAAUUACAGUUGGGGAAGCAUGUGGGUAAGGCUUUGUAUAGAAGUGGUGGAGGCGCAGGAGAAUAGAAGGGGAGUGAGAGAAGAAGAUAAGUUGUCCAGUUUUCAAACCACAUCAAAAAAAAUUGAUCCGUAGAACAACUACAUUGUGUGGUUUCAGGGACAACCUCCUUUUCUUCACCGAAACCCCUGCCAGAGGGUAAGGACCGCCAUCCUUUUUAUCACCGCGAUGCCCUGGUUUUCGCUUUCUUUAAUUAUAGCCUGAAAAAUGCAAGCCCACUCUGUCCAAAAACAGGACUUAUAGUAGGAAUUGGGGCCAGGUGUGUGAGCUUCAAAGGGCUGGAGCAGAAAGGGAGGUGAGAGUGGGAUGUAUCUUUAGUACUUAAAGAGCCAGUUAGCUAAACCACCCCCAAUGAACACAACACAGCAGUAAAGGGCCAUGCAACCGCUGUUUCUGGAUCAGUUUCCUUCCACAGAACUGAGGGAUCGAUGCCUUAAAGGUGUCAGAAGGUCAUACUGCUUGACAUAACAAGCUAGCAAGCUAAAAGAUUAGGUUCUGUCACUAUAGAGUUGUUAAAUAAAACUUAAAAUGGGUUGUGUUUCUCCGCUAUCUACUGCACAGAUUAAUCUCAUGACUGCGAGUGCCAAGUCAAUACCGAGAGUCAAUACAGGGAGAAUUCAAGGCUGUGUCCCAAAUGGCAUAACGUGCACUAAGAAGUAUGCCUAAAUAGUAAUGUCUACUGACAAACUAUUUAAUAUUGUCGUAUGCAGUUUGUGACAUGAUCCAGCUGUUUGCGAAUCUGAUGAUAGAUUUUGCAAACUGUGCAUAUCAGUGUUGUGAUUGUCAUAGUUACUGAGUCUCAGGUGAUAAAGCAAAACAUUUUUGUUUAGUACUAAUCACGUUUAUGACAAUUUGAGACGUUAAGACAUUUACAGAAGACAGGUUAGACCAUGUUUUUCCACUCUUUAAACUGUCCAGUUUCAGUUAAACCUGUGCCCAGUGUAGCCUCGGAUUCCUGUUCUUGGCUGACAGGACUGGACCCCAAUGUGUUCUGCUGCUUUUGUGGCUCAUCUGCCUCGAAUUUUGAUGCAUCGUGUGGUCCGAGAUGCUUUUCUGUGCACCACAGUUGUAAAGAGAUGUCAAAUAGGCAUUUCUGCCUGUAGAGCUGUCACUCUGGUUGUUUUUCUUUUUCACAUUAUUCUGUGUAAAAUCUAGAGACUGUUGACUCCUGGUAGUGCACAACCCUAAAGAACCUUUAGAGGUAGUAUGAAGAGCCCUAGAACAGAAGGUUUCAAAGCAAAGGACCCUAAGAAAGCAUUUUCCCAGAGACUGUACCCUUCAAAAAUCUAGGUACAAUGUAGGGACGUACGUAGAGAAUAUUUCAAGAAUAUUAUAGUGCAUGGGUGUCCAGUCUUAUCCAGAAAAAAGGGCUGGUGUGGGUGCAGGUUUUCAUUCCAACCAAGCAGAAGUCACAACUGAGUCUAUUGAACGCCAAGAUCAACUGAUUAUAGAGGUGGGACCAGGAGUGGCUUCUGCUUGAUUGGAAUGAAAACCUGCACCCACACCGGCCCAUUGUGAAUAAGAUUUGACACCCGUGCUAUAGUGUGUAGUGUGCAUCUGAUAUAUAGGUAAGGGUAGGUUUCUGAAGGGGGAAGGAAGGAAGGACCUUAUAAGGAGAGGCAGCUAUGUGAAAUAAACAGCCACAAAGAGCAGGUGAGGCUCAGGAAUGUCAUCUCGGCCACCUGUCAGCUAGGAUUUUCGAACCGUAGCGCCAAUAGAUCAACACACUGAGGUUAGUUUUAGUCGUUCGUAUCAACGCUUUCUAAUGAAUCAUUAGUAAAUCAACAUAUCCUCAGUCAUGUUUAAUACCUUAAUGCAUAAGCCAUUACUGCAGCAUGAUGAAAAGGUUUGCUAUGAAUCAGUUCAGCAGAAGAACUUUUAUUCUCUGCCAACUAGGAAUGCAGUGGGAGGCAAGGCUUUAGAGGCUGCAAAUUCCAGAGAACAGCUCUGCAGUUGUAGUGAUGGGAAACACCUCAGUCAUCAAAGAAGCCCUUUACAGAGACAAGAUAAGCACAGGCAAGCUCACCACCACCUGAAAAGCUAACAUAGUACAGGGCUUCACAUCACUUACACAUCUGUCAUCACAAGCAAACAGUACUUUCCGGUUUGUGAAAGAGUUGGACAGUGUUCAGUGACACUGAUUCCUGCCGACAGUCAAUCUGAUAAACUAGGAACACAGUAAACGACUGAUCAUGAUCAACCACGAUCACAGAAUCACAAAGCAUACAAAGAGAAGUGAACCGAAUGAUGAGUUCUAUGUUUUAACUCAUUUUUGGAGGGCAAAAUUUUUUUCAAAAAUCCUCACAUUGAAGUUUGCAUGUUCGCCUAACAUCAUUUAUGGAUUCCCCCAUCCCUCAUUUCUUAAUUAUGUACCAACUUUCUAACUGAACAUAAGAAACAAAAAUCUGUGUCCUAGCUAGUGACUUUCUCUGACAUAUAAUUUGGCAUGCAUUGCACAAGUAGCUCCUAUAAGACCAUUAUAUCCAUACCACUUAUCCUACACCGGGUCGCGUGGGGCCUGGAGCCUAUCCCAGGGGACUUGGGCGCACAGAGGGUGGAGGCGGAAUUCAAACCCGCCAACCCCAGAGACACGAGGCAAAUGUGCUAACCACUAAGCCACCGUAUUUUGCUUUACAUUUAAAUGAUGUCUUCUGCAUUACUGUUUCAGUAAAAAUAACCAACAUUAGACCUCCAUUCACCCCCCCCCCCCCACCCCCA